This 54-nucleotide transfer RNA is filed under the name Liphistius erawan. Its description in RNAcentral is "tRNA-Phe". Lineage: Eukaryota; Metazoa; Arthropoda; Arachnida; Araneae; Liphistiidae. The record is from RNAcentral.
UCUCAAAUAGUUUAUUAGAACAUUUUAUUGAAGAUAAAAAGGUAUUUUUGAGAA